UUGAAGAGUUUGAUCAUGGCUCAGAUUGAACGCUGGCGGCAGGCCUAACACAUGCAAGUCGGGCGGUAGCACAGAGAGCUUGCUCUCGGGUGACGAGCGGCGGACGGGUGAGUAAUGUCUGGGAAACUGCCUGAUGGAGGGGGAUAACUACUGGAAACGGUAGCUAAUACCGCAUAACGUCGCAAGACCAAAGAGGGGGACCUUCGGGCCUCUUGCCAUCAGAUGUGCCCAGAUGGGAUUAGCUAGUAGGUGGGGUAACGGCUCACCUAGGCGACGAUCCCUAGCUGGUCUGAGAGGAUGACCAGCCACACUGGAACUGAGACACGGUCCAGACUCCUACGGGAGGCAGCAGUGGGGAAUAUUGCACAAUGGGCGCAAGCCUGAUGCAGCCAUGCCGCGUGUAUGAAGAAGGCCUUCGGGUUGUAAAGUACUUUCAGCGGGGAGGAAGGUGUUGAGGUUAAUAACCUCAGCAAUUGACGUUACCCGCAGAAGAAGCACCGGCUAACUCCGUGCCAGCAGCCGCGGUAAUACGGAGGGUGCAAGCGUUAAUCGGAAUUACUGGGCGUAAAGCGCACGCAGGCGGUCUGUCAAGUCGGAUGUGAAAUCCCCGGGCUCAACCUGGGAACUGCAUUCGAAACUGGCAGGCUAGAGUCUUGUAGAGGGGGGUAGAAUUCCAGGUGUAGCGGUGAAAUGCGUAGAGAUCUGGAGGAAUACCGGUGGCGAAGGCGGCCCCCUGGACAAAGACUGACGCUCAGGUGCGAAAGCGUGGGGAGCAAACAGGAUUAGAUACCCUGGUAGUCCACGCCGUAAACGAUGUCGACUUGGAGGUUGUGCCCUUGAGGCGUGGCUUCCGGAGCUAACGCGUUAAGUCGACCGCCUGGGGAGUACGGCCGCAAGGUUAAAACUCAAAUGAAUUGACGGGGGCCCGCACAAGCGGUGGAGCAUGUGGUUUAAUUCGAUGCAACGCGAAGAACCUUACCUACUCUUGACAUCCAGAGAACUUUCCAGAGAUGGAUUGGUGCCUUCGGGAACUCUGAGACAGGUGCUGCAUGGCUGUCGUCAGCUCGUGUUGUGAAAUGUUGGGUUAAGUCCCGCAACGAGCGCAACCCUUAUCCUUUGUUGCCAGCGGUUAGGCCGGGAACUCAAAGGAGACUGCCAGUGAUAAACUGGAGGAAGGUGGGGAUGACGUCAAGUCAUCAUGGCCCUUACGAGUAGGGCUACACACGUGCUACAAUGGCGCAUACAAAGAGAAGCGACCUCGCGAGAGCAAGCGGACCUCAUAAAGUGCGUCGUAGUCCGGAUUGGAGUCUGCAACUCGACUCCAUGAAGUCGGAAUCGCUAGUAAUCGUAGAUCAGAAUGCUACGGUGAAUACGUUCCCGGGCCUUGUACACACCGCCCGUCACACCAUGGGAGUGGGUUGCAAAAGAAGUAGGUAGCUUAACCUUCGGGAGGGCGCUUACCACUUUGUGAUUCAUGACUGGGGUGAAGUCGUAACAAGGUAACCGUAGGGGAACCUGCGGUUGGAUCACCUCCUU
RNAcentral lists this ribosomal RNA (1536 nucleotides) under Enterobacter sp. AS-1. Its description in RNAcentral is "bacterial SSU rRNA". It matches the Rfam family "Bacterial small subunit ribosomal RNA". The record is from RNAcentral. Lineage: Bacteria; Pseudomonadati; Pseudomonadota; Gammaproteobacteria; Enterobacterales; Enterobacteriaceae.